AUUGAACGCUGGCGGCAUGCCUUACACAUGCAAGUCGAACGGUAACGGGCCUUCGGGUGCCGACGAGUGGCGAACGGGUGAGUAAUACAUCGGCACGUGCCCGAUCCUGGGGGAUAACGAGGCGAAAGCUUUGCUAAUACCGCAUACGAUCUACGGAUGAAAGCCGGGGACCGCAAGGCCUUGCGCGGACCGUGCGGCCGCUGGCAGAUUAGGUAGUUGGUGGGAUAAAAGCUUACCAAGCCGACGAUCUGUAGCUGGUCUGAGAGGAUGAUCAGCCACACUGGGACUGAGACACGGCCCAGACUCCUACGGGAGGCAGCAGUGGGGAAUUUUGGACAAUGGGCGCAAGCCUGAUCCAGCAAUGCCGCGUGAAGGAUGAAGGCCUUCGGGUUGUAAACUGCUUUUGUACGGAACGAAAAGCCUUCUUUUAAUACAGGAGGGUCAUGACGGUACCGUAAGAAUAAGCACCGGCUAACUACGUG
This 482-nucleotide ribosomal RNA is filed under the name uncultured bacterium. RNAcentral's name for it is "partial 16S ribosomal RNA". It matches the Rfam family "Bacterial small subunit ribosomal RNA", at positions 30 to 507 of the family's 1533-position model. The record is from RNAcentral.